RNAcentral lists this long non-coding RNA (656 nucleotides) under Trifolium pratense (red clover). RNAcentral describes it as "long non-coding RNA (TPRA_LNC003462)". Lineage: Eukaryota; Viridiplantae; Streptophyta; Magnoliopsida; Fabales; Fabaceae. The record is from RNAcentral.
UCGGGGAGAAAGUAGCAGAGGAGGUGAAGGUGUUAUCAUGGAGAAUUUUGAAAAACCGAUCUAAAGGAUCCAAUUUUCCCCUUGUUCAGUGGAUUAGCUAGGAAGCACAUAGGGUGAGGAAUUGGCUGGUGGUGAUAGCCAUAGCAGAGGUGAUCUUGCAGCUGCAGCUGGUCUGGACUCUGGAGUGUUGAUAACAGAGUCAGUGUGUCUCAGUUAAGAGUUAAGGAUAUUGCAUAUCAGUUUAGUCUCAUUUUGGUGAACUCGGCGGCACUGUAUUUAGAUAUAGCAGAAGGUUUCAGGUCUGCUGCGCUGUGCUUAGUUGCUGGAUCGGUGUGCACUUUACUUUGGUUUGCGGCAGAAUUUUUGUAUAAUUAGUUUUGGAUCCUGUAUAUUGUUUAUGCUGUUUUGUGUCUUUUAUCUGUGCAGGAUUCUAUCGGCUAGGUGUUGGUGUUGCAUUUGAAUUAUUGAGCCUAUAUUGCAGGAUAAAUUCGACAGAAGAGGAGCUGUUUGUGAGCAAACGUCCUGUCUUAAUUUUCCGUCUUGGUUGCAUCUCAUAAGGUCAUUGCCCGGUUGUCUUGGGUCGGAAGUGAUUCUGCUCCUGAAGUCCAAGCGUUAUUAAGUGGCAUGACGCGAGAUCCCAAGACGUGAUAUUGUAU